Molecule: ribosomal RNA, 253 nt
Filed under: uncultured bacterium
Lineage: Bacteria
Description: partial 16S ribosomal RNA
Rfam family: Bacterial small subunit ribosomal RNA
Source: RNAcentral
UACGUAGGGUGCAAGCGUUGUCCGGAAUUAUUGGGCGUAAAGAGUUCGUAGGCGGUUUGUCACGUCGGCUGUGAAAACCCGAGGCUCAACCUCGGGCCUGCAGUCGAUACGGGCAGACUAGAGUAUGGCAGGGGAGACUGGAAUUCCUGGUGUAGCGGUGAAAUGCGUAGAUAUCUGGAGGAACACCGGUGGCGAAGGCGGCACCCUGGACCGGCAUUGACGCUGAGGCGCGAAAGCCAGGGGAGCAAACGGG